Molecule: ribosomal RNA, 2929 nt
Rfam family: Bacterial large subunit ribosomal RNA
AUGGUUAAGUGACGAAGCGUAUACGGUGGAUGCCUUGGCAGUUAGAGGCGAUGAAGGACGUGUAAGUCUGCGAAAAGCUGUGGUGAGCCGACAAAAUGCAUUUGAGCCACAGAUGUCCGAAUGGGGAAACCCACCUGUUUACAGGUAUCGUUACAUGAAUACAUAGUGUAACGAGGCGAACGAGGGGAACUGAAACAUCUAAGUACCCUUAGGAAAAGAAAUCAAUUGAGAUUCCCCUAGUAGCGGCGAGCGAACGGGGAACAGCCCUUAAGCUGUAUUGAAUGUAGUGGAAUCCUUUGGGAAGAGGAGCGAUACAAGGUGAUAGCCCUGUACACGACGCAAUCUUUACAGUGAAAUCGAGUAGGUCGGGACACGUGUUAUCUUGACUGAAUAUGGGGGGACCAUCCUCCAAGGCUAAAUACUCCUAACUGACCGAUAGUGAACCAGUACCGUGAGGGAAAGGCGAAAAGAACCCCUGUGAGGGGAGUGAAAUAGAACCUGAAACCGUAUACGUACAAGCAGUGGGAGCACCUUCGUGGUGUGACUGCGUACCUUUUGUAUAAUGGGUCAGCGACUUAUAUUUAGUAGCAAGGUUAAGUGAAUAACGGAGCCGUAGCGAAAGCGAGUGUUAACUGCGCGUUUAGUUGCUAGGUAUAGACCCGAAACCCGGUGAUCUAGCCAUGGGCAGGUUGAAGGUUGAGUAACAUCAACUGGAGGACCGAACCCACUAACGUUGAAAAGUUAGGGGAUGACCUGUGGCUGGGGGUGAAAGGCCAAUCAAACCGGGAGAUAGCUGGUUCUCCCCGAAAUCUAUUUAGGUAGAGCCUCGGACGAAUUCCAUUGGGGGUAGAGCACUGUUAAGGCUAGGGGGUCAUCCCGACUUACCAACCCUUUGCAAACUCCGAAUACCAAUGAGAACUAUCCGGGAGACACACGGCGGGUGCUAACGUCCGUCGUGGAGAGGGAAACAACCCAGACCGCCAGCUAAGGUCCCAAAAUAUUGCUAAGUGGGAAACGAUGUGGGAAGGCACAGACAGCUAGGAGGUUGGCUUAGAAGCAGCCACCCUUUAAAGAAAGCGUAAUAGCUCACUAGUCGAGUCGGCCUGCGCGGAAGAUGUAACGGGGCUAAGCAAUAUACCGAAGCUGCGGCAGCAUGUUUACAUGCUGGGUAGGGGAGCGUUGUGUAAGUGGAUGAAGGUGAGUUGUAAAGCUUGCUGGACAUAUCACAAGUGCGAAUGCUGACAUGAGUAACGAUAAUGGGAGUGAAAAACUCCCACGCCGGAAGACCAAGGUUUCCUGUCCCAUGCUAAUCAGGGCAGGGUAAGUCGGCCCCUAAGGCGAGGCAGAAAUGCGUAGUCGAUGGGAAACGGAUUAAUAUUUCCGUACUUAUAUAAUCAGUGAUGGAGGGACGGAGAAGGCUAGGCAAGCUUGGCGUUGGUUGUCCAAGUGAAAGCGAGUAGGCCGAGAACUUAGGUAAAUCCGGGUUCUUAAAGCUGAGACGCGAGACGAGCUCCCAAGGGAGUGAAGUUGUUGAUGCCCUGCUUCCAGGAAAAGCUUCUAAACUUAUGAUUAUAUGAACCGUACCCCAAACCGACACAGGUGGUCAGGUAGAGAAUACUAAGGCGCUUGAGAGAACUCGGGUGAAGGAACUCGGCAAAAUUGUACCGUAACUUCGGGAGAAGGUACGCCCCUGUUUGUGAACACUUCGCGUGGUAAGCAAAUGGGGGCCGCAGUGACCAGGUGGCUGGGACUGUUUAUUAAAAACACAGCACUCUGCAAACUCGUAAGAGGACGUAUAGGGUGUGACACCUGCCCGGUGCCGGAAGGUUAAUUGAUGGGGUUAGUUUUCGGACGAAGCUCUUGAUCGAAGCCCCGGUAAACGGCGGCCGUAACUAUAACGGUCCUAAGGUAGCGAAAUUCCUUGUCGGGUAAGUUCCGACCUGCACGAAUGGUGUAACCAUGGCCACGCUGUCUCCACCCGAGACUCAGUGAAAUUGAAAUCGCAGUGAAGAUGCUGUGUACCCGCACCUAGACGGAAAGACCCCGUGAACCUUUACUACAGCUUGGCACUGAACAUUGAACCUACAUGUGUAGGAUAGGUGGGAGGCUUUGAAGCACAGUCGCUAGAUUGUGUGGAGCCGUCCUUGAAAUACCACCCUUGUAUGUUUGAUGUUCUAACAUUGGUCCCUUAUCGGGAUUGUGGACAGUGUCUGGUGGGUAGUUUGACUGGGGCGGUCUCCUCCCAAAUAGUAACGGAGGAGCACGAAGGUUAGCUAAUCACGGUCGGACAUCGUGAGGUUAGUGCAAUGGCAUAAGCUAGCUUAACUGCGAGACAGACACGUCGAGCAGGUACGAAAGUAGGUCAUAGUGAUCCGGUGGUUCUGUAUGGAAGGGCCAUCGCUCAACGGAUAAAAGGUACUCCGGGGAUAACAGGCUGAUACCGCCCAAGAGUUCAUAUCGACGGCGGUGUUUGGCACCUCGAUGUCGGCUCAUCACAUCCUGGGGCUGAAGUCGGUCCCAAGGGUAUGGCUGUUCGCCAUUUAAAGUGGUACGCGAGCUGGGUUUAGAACGUCGUGAGACAGUUCGGUCCCUAUCUGGUGUGGGCGUUGGAUGAUUGAUGGGAGCUGCUCCUAGUACGAGAGGACCGGAGUGGACGAACCGCUGGUGUUCGGGUUGUCAUGCCAAUGGCAUUGCCCGGUAGCUAUGUUCGGAACGGAUAACCGCUGAAAGCAUCUAAGCGGGAAGCCGGCCCAAAGAUGAGUCAUCCCUGACCUUUAAGGUCUGGAAGGGUUGUUAUAGACGAUGACGUUGAUAGGCAGGGUGUGGAAGCGUUGUAAGGCGUUAAGCUAACCUGUACUAAUUGCCCGAGAGGCUUAACCAUACAACGCCCAAGAAGCUUUAGGCUUUUGAAGUGUUGUAGACAAGCUAA